UGGGGAAUAUUGGACAAUGGGCGGAAGCCUGAUCCAGCAAUACCGCGUGUGUGAAGAAGGCCUUCGGGUUGUAAAGCACUUUCAAUUGGGAGGAAAACCUACCGGUCAAUACCCGGUAGCUUGACAUUACCUUUAGAAGAAGCACCGGCUAACUCCGUG
RNAcentral lists this ribosomal RNA (159 nucleotides) under uncultured bacterium. RNAcentral's name for it is "partial 16S ribosomal RNA". It matches the Rfam family "Bacterial small subunit ribosomal RNA", at positions 355 to 507 of the family's 1533-position model. The record is from RNAcentral.